CCGUUGUACACACCGCCCGUCAAGCCAUGGAAGUUGAGAGAGCCUGAAGUCGAUAACCGCAAGGAGUCGCCUAGGGUUAUAUCAAUGACUGGGGCU
This 96-nucleotide ribosomal RNA is filed under the name uncultured bacterium. Its description in RNAcentral is "partial 16S ribosomal RNA". It matches the Rfam family "Bacterial small subunit ribosomal RNA", at positions 1378 to 1482 of the family's 1533-position model. The record is from RNAcentral.